AGUGAACGCUGGCGGUAGGCCUAACACAUGCAAGUCGAACGGCAGCACAGUAAGAGUUUGCUCUUACGGGUGGCGAGUGGCGGACGGGUGAGGAAUACAUCGGAAUCUACUUUUUCGUGGGGGAUAACGUAGGGAAACUUACGCUAAUACCGCAUACGACCUACGGGUGAGAGCAGGGGAUCUUCGCACCUUGCGCGAUUGAAUGAGCCGAUGUCGGAUUAGCUAGUUGGCGGGGUAAAGGCCCACCAAGGCGACGAUCCGUAGCUGGUCUGAGAGGAUGAUCAGCCACACUGGAACUGAGACACGGUCCAGACUCCUACGGGAGGCAGCAGUGGGGAAUAUUGGACAAUGGGCGCAAGCCUGAUCCAGCCAUACCGCGUGAGUGAAGAAGGCCUUCGGGUUGUAAAGCCCUUUUGUUGGGAAAGAAAAGCAGCAGGUUAAUACCCCGCUGUUCUGACGGUACCCAAAGAAUAAGCACCGGCUAACUUCGUG
This 492-nucleotide ribosomal RNA is filed under the name uncultured bacterium. RNAcentral's name for it is "partial 16S ribosomal RNA". It matches the Rfam family "Bacterial small subunit ribosomal RNA", at positions 29 to 507 of the family's 1533-position model. The record is from RNAcentral.